Molecule: ribosomal RNA, 163 nt
Filed under: Murraya paniculata
Lineage: Eukaryota; Viridiplantae; Streptophyta; Magnoliopsida; Sapindales; Rutaceae
Also listed under: 5 other names
Description: 5.8S ribosomal RNA
Rfam family: 5.8S ribosomal RNA
About the family: 5.8S ribosomal RNA (5.8S rRNA) is a component of the large subunit of the eukaryotic ribosome. It is transcribed by RNA polymerase I as part of the 45S precursor that also contains 18S and 28S rRNA. Functionally, it is thought that 5.8S rRNA may be involved in ribosome translocation.
Source: RNAcentral
AAACGACUCUCGGCAACGGAUAUCUCGGCUCUCGCAUCGAUGAAGAACGUAGCGAAAUGCGAUACUUGGUGUGAAUUGCAGAAUCCCGUGAACCAUCGAGUCUUUGAACGCAAGUUGCGCCCCAAGCCGUUAGGCCGAGGGCACGUCUGCCUGGGUGUCACGC